CGGCAACAGCUCAAAUUUGAAAUCUGGCUUCGGCCCGAGUUGUAAUUUGCAGAGGAUGCUUCGGGCGCGGUGCCUACUGAGUUCCCUGGAACGGGACGCCGUAGAGGGUGAGAGCCCCGUACGGUAGGACGCCUAGCCUGUGUGAAGCUCCUUCGAC
This 157-nucleotide ribosomal RNA is filed under the name Phaeoacremonium sp. RNAcentral's name for it is "partial large subunit ribosomal RNA". It matches the Rfam family "Eukaryotic large subunit ribosomal RNA", at positions 99 to 261 of the family's 3401-position model. The record is from RNAcentral. Lineage: Eukaryota; Fungi; Ascomycota; Sordariomycetes; Togniniales; Togniniaceae.